UACGUAGGUGGCAAGCGUUGUCCGGAUUUACUGGGCGUAAAGAGCGCGCAGGCGGUCGGUCAAGUCGCGUGUGAAAGCCCCCGGCUCAACUGGGGAGGGUCACGCGAUACUGAUCGACUGGAAGGCAGGAGAGGGUAGUGGAAUUCCCGGUGUAGUGGUGAAAUGCUUAGAUAUCGUCAAGAACACCGAUAGUGAAGACAGCUAACUAAACUCUAACUGACGCUGAGGCACGAAAGUGUGGGGAUCAAACAGG
RNAcentral lists this ribosomal RNA (253 nucleotides) under uncultured bacterium. RNAcentral describes it as "partial 16S ribosomal RNA". It matches the Rfam family "Bacterial small subunit ribosomal RNA", at positions 524 to 776 of the family's 1533-position model. The record is from RNAcentral.